This 165-nucleotide ribosomal RNA is filed under the name uncultured Bacteroidota bacterium. Its description in RNAcentral is "uncultured Bacteroidetes bacterium partial 16S ribosomal RNA". It matches the Rfam family "Bacterial small subunit ribosomal RNA", at positions 363 to 525 of the family's 1533-position model. The record is from RNAcentral. Lineage: Bacteria; Pseudomonadati; Bacteroidota.
AUUGGUCAAUGGACGAGAGUCUGAACCAGCCAAGUAGCGUGAAGGAUGACUGCCCUAUGGGUUGUAAACUUCUUUUAUACGGGAAUAAAGUGAGGCACGUGUGCCUUUUUGUAUGUACCGUAUGAAUAAGGAUCGGCUAACUCCGUGCCAGCAGCCGCGGUAAUA